This 392-nucleotide unclassified non-coding RNA is filed under the name uncultured bacterium. RNAcentral describes it as "contains 16S-23S intergenic spacer region". The record is from RNAcentral.
AAAACCAUGUCCAGCAUUGGCAAACUCAUGAAACAAGCUGCGCGGAUGCAGCAGCAGAUGGAACAAAUCCAGGCCCAACUCGCGGCACGCACCGUCGAAGCCACCAGCGGCGGGGGCGCGGUGAAGGUUGUGGCGAAAUGCGACGGCUCCAUUGCCUCCAUUAAAAUUGACCCGCAAACCCUCAACUCCGCUGACGCUCAAUUGCUGGAGGACAUGAUCCUGACCGCUGCGAAUCAGGCGUUGUCACAAGCCAAAGAAAUUUCCAACACGGAAAUGGGCAAGGUGACUUCUGGACUUAAUCUUCCUGGAUUGACCUAAUUCGCCUGUUUCCCGUUCUUGUGGCUUCACUUCCUGAACCGAUCACUAUGCUGAUUGCCGCGUUGAACAAGUUG